Molecule: long non-coding RNA, 217 nt
Organism: Triticum dicoccoides
Lineage: Eukaryota; Viridiplantae; Streptophyta; Magnoliopsida; Poales; Poaceae
Exons: 3
Source: RefSeq, a predicted model, not a curated record
UUCCGUUCUCCGUGACUGCUGAGCUGACUACUGGAACAGGAGGCGGACAAGGUUUGGCAACUGGAGUUCUGAAUCUCGCCAUCGUCGCUCCUCAGAUAGUAGUCUCACUCGGAGCAGGCCCAUGGGACAAGCUCUUGGGGGAGGGAACGUCCCCGCCUUCGCCCUGGCUUCGGUCUUCUCGCUGGCAGCCGGAGUGCUCGUGGUGAUCAAGCUGCCC